Molecule: long non-coding RNA, 983 nt
Filed under: Androctonus crassicauda
Lineage: Eukaryota; Metazoa; Arthropoda; Arachnida; Scorpiones; Buthidae
Source: RNAcentral
GAAAUAGACAAUUUUGAUAUUUUAUAAAAUCAAAACUGCUAAAGAUAUUGGCUCUCAUGAUGAAGGGUUUAUAAGAAAUCUCUGUAAAUCUUUGUCCCUAAAUGCAAGGAUGAUGUCAACAAAAGAAUCCCCAUCAUGUGACUGGCAAGUCCAAGAUAACUACAAAUGCUGUUGUGAAAACAUAUUGUGUGUUGGAAUUGUCCAAAACAAAUUUGAUUACUAUUACAAUAGUAACAGCAUUUUUAAGCACAUUUUGGGAAAAAGCACUUUUGAGAAUAUAAUCAAUUUAAGAUUGGAGCUAGAAAUUCAAAUCCACAGAAUAUCUGCGUAAAUGUAAGAGUUUUGGAAGAUCACCAAUUUCAGAGGAACAGAUGAAUUGUAUUCAAGCCACUUAUGCACAGAGCUCUAGGAAAUUCACAACUGUGGCAAAUUUAAAGUUAGGAAUUCCAUAACAGACUGUGUAGAUGGCUGAAAAUGAAGCCAUAGAGACUUCAGCUGUUAUAACAUCUAGUCAAUGAGGAUGAAAGUGUAUGUGCAGCUUUCUGUGAAGAUACAUAAGAAUAGUGUGAAGGUUUUUUUGUGAGUGUCUAAAUUUUUAGUGAAGAGUCUACAUUCCAUCUGAGUGGCAACUUAACAAGCAGAAUAUUUGAAUAUGGUGGUUUAAAAUCCCAGAGCAACAAUGGACCAUGUGAAGGAUUCCUCAAAAGUAAAUGUUUUUUUGCAUUGUAUCCAAGGAAAAAACAUAAAGACCCUUCUUUUUUUAAGAAAACACUAUAACAGGAUGAUGUUAUUUGGAUAUGCUAACUGAAUACUUCAUGCCAUGACUGCUUGAAAACUAUGCCAAUUUCAUUUUCCAAUAAGAUGAAGAUCUGCUACACUGACAUCAACAUGUACAACAUUACUUAUGAGGAGAGGUUGCAAAGUGGAAUCCAUCAAUUUUGAUGAAACUUAAUAUGGCUAUAGAGUAUGUCUUCCUGAAUAUA